RNAcentral lists this ribosomal RNA (214 nucleotides) under uncultured bacterium. RNAcentral's name for it is "partial 16S ribosomal RNA". It matches the Rfam family "Bacterial small subunit ribosomal RNA", at positions 119 to 334 of the family's 1533-position model. The record is from RNAcentral.
AGGUAUCUGCCUAGUAGUGGGGGACAACCUGGUGAAAACCAGGCUAAUACCGCAUAAGAUCUACGGAUGAAAGGAGGCCUCUUCUUGAAAGCUUUCGCUGUUAGAUGAGCCUAUGUCAGAUUAGCUAGUCGGUAGGGUAAUGGCCUACCAAGGCGACGAUCUGUAGCUGGUCUGAGAGGAUGAUCAGCCACACUGGGACUGAGACACGGCCCAG